RNAcentral lists this ribosomal RNA (360 nucleotides) under uncultured bacterium. RNAcentral's name for it is "bacterial SSU rRNA". It matches the Rfam family "Bacterial small subunit ribosomal RNA", at positions 42 to 433 of the family's 1533-position model. The record is from RNAcentral.
UCAGGCCUAACACAUGCAAGUCGAACGCCCCGCAAGGGGAGUGGCAGACGGGUGAGUAACACGUGGGAACGUACCCUUCGGUUCGGAAUAACUCAGGGAAACUUGAGCUAAUACCGGAUACGUCCGAGAGGAGAAAGAUUUAUCGCCGAAGGAUCGGCCCGCGUCUGAUUAGCUAGUUGGUGAGGUAAUGGCUCACCAAGGCGACGAUCAGUAGCUGGUCUGAGAGGAUGAUCAGCCACACUGGGACUGAGACACGGCCCAGACUCCUACGGGAGGCAGCAGUGGGGAAUAUUGGACAAUGGGCGCAAGCCUGAUCCAGCCAUGCCGCGUGAGAAAGGAGGCCUUAGGGUUGUAAAGCUC